RNAcentral lists this ribosomal RNA (497 nucleotides) under uncultured bacterium. Its description in RNAcentral is "partial 16S ribosomal RNA". It matches the Rfam family "Bacterial small subunit ribosomal RNA", at positions 28 to 507 of the family's 1533-position model. The record is from RNAcentral.
GACGAACGCUGGCGGCGUGCCUAAUACAUGCAAGUUGAGCGCUGAAGGUUGGUACUUGUACCAACUGGAUGAGCAGCGAACGGGUGAGUAACGCGUGGGGAAUCUGCCUUUGAGCGGGGGACAACAUUUGGAAACGAAUGCUAAUACCGCAUAAAAACUUUAAACACAAGUUUUAAGUUUGAAAGAUGCAAUUGCAUCACUCAAAGAUGAUCCCGCGUUGUAUUAGCUAGUUGGUGAGGUAAAGGCUCACCAAGGCGAUGAUACAUAGCCGACCUGAGAGGGGGAACGGCCACAAUGGGACUGAGACACGGCCCAAACUCCUACGGGAGGCAGCAGUAGGGAAUCUUCGGCAAUGGACGAAAGGCUGAACGAGGAAAGCCGCGUGAGGGAAGAAGGUUUUCGGAUCGGAAAACUCUGUUGGUAGAGAAGAAAGUUGGUGAGAGUGGAAAGCGCAUCAAGUGACGGUAACUACCCAGAAAGGGACGGCUAACUACGUA